GAAAUGCGAUACGCAAUGCGAAUUGCAGAAUUCCGCGAAUCAUCAGAUUCUUGAACGCAACUGGCGCUGGAGGGAUAUCCUUCCAGCAUGUCUGUUUCAGUGUCUGAAAACUUCCAAAUCAUUCUAAUGUGUUUGACAAGGAGUGGUCUUUUAUAGAUCAUAUUUCCAAGUCUUACAUGAAAGAUGUAUGUGUGGGUCUUUGGAUCCAUCGAAUUGGUCAUCGAUUCUUCGGUGAUUUCGAUAGGAUGUCACCAAUUACUCGUAUACACAUAGAAAAUUAUAUACUUUAUCAUCUGCAUCUGAAAUCAGACAAGAAAACCCGCUGAACUUAA
Molecule: unclassified non-coding RNA, 332 nt
Filed under: uncultured fungus
Lineage: Eukaryota; Fungi
Description: sequence contains ITS1
Rfam family: 5.8S ribosomal RNA (bases 1-105)
Source: RNAcentral